This 74-nucleotide transfer RNA is filed under the name Spiribacter vilamensis. Its description in RNAcentral is "Halopeptonella vilamensis tRNA-Arg". It matches the Rfam family "tRNA". Rfam says of the family: Transfer RNA (tRNA) molecules are approximately 80 nucleotides in length. Their secondary structure includes four short double-helical elements and three loops (D, anti-codon, and T loops). RNAcentral also lists the same sequence under 1 other name. The record is from RNAcentral. Lineage: Bacteria; Pseudomonadati; Pseudomonadota; Gammaproteobacteria; Chromatiales; Ectothiorhodospiraceae.
GCGCCUGUAGCUCAGCUGGAUAGAGCGUCGGCCUCCGAAGCCGAAGGUCGCAGGUUCGAGUCCUGCCGGGCGCA